Molecule: unclassified non-coding RNA, 253 nt
Filed under: uncultured Bacillaceae bacterium
Lineage: Bacteria; Bacillati; Bacillota; Bacilli; Caryophanales; Bacillaceae
Description: contains 16S-23S intergenic spacer region
Rfam family: Bacterial small subunit ribosomal RNA
Source: RNAcentral
UACGUAGGUGGCAAGCGUUGUCUGGAAUUAUUGGGCGUAAAGGGCUCGCAGGCGGUUUCUUAAGUCUGAUGUGAAAGCCCCCGGCUCAACCGGGGAGGGUCAUUGGAAACUGGGGAACUUGAGUGCAGAAGAGGAGAGUGGAAUUCCACGUGUAGCGGUGAAAUGCGUAGAGAUGUGGAGGAACACCAGUGGCGAAGGCGGCUCUCUGGUCUGUAACUGACGCUGAGGCGCGAAAACGUGGGGAGCAAACAGG